GCACCAGUAGCUCAGGUGGAUAGAGCAACUGCCUUCUAAGCAGUGGGUCGGGGGUUCAAGUCCUCCCUGGUGCGCCA
This 77-nucleotide transfer RNA is filed under the name Acidobacteria bacterium CG_4_9_14_3_um_filter_49_7. Its description in RNAcentral is "tRNA-Arg". It matches the Rfam family "tRNA". Rfam says of the family: Transfer RNA (tRNA) molecules are approximately 80 nucleotides in length. Their secondary structure includes four short double-helical elements and three loops (D, anti-codon, and T loops). Further hydrogen bonds mediate the characteristic L-shaped molecular structure. tRNAs have two regions of fundamental functional importance: the anti-codon, which is responsible for specific mRNA codon recognition, and the 3' end, to which the tRNAs corresponding amino acid is attached (by aminoacyl-tRNA synthetases). tRNAs cope with the degeneracy of the genetic code in two manners: having more than one tRNA (with a specific anti-codon) for a particular amino acid; and 'wobble' base-pairing, i.e. permitting non-standard base-pairing at the 3rd anti-codon position. RNAcentral also lists the same sequence under 3 other names. Lineage: Bacteria; Pseudomonadati; Acidobacteriota. The record is from RNAcentral.